GAAGGCAAUUCGGUGGUUGCAACCUCCAAAGAUUCGCAGCUCUUGCAAGCCCUGACCCAGAGAAUGGCCGUCUUCCUUAAGUCCCGGCGGACAGUCACUCCUCACUGGCUGCAAAGAGGUGGUUCAAGAAAAAAAGAAGGCAUCACAAACUAUAGAAACUUCCCCAAGUCCUCCACGCCCCCUCCCCGCGCCCACACGGUCUUCUAGGAAAUUCGCUUCCCAGCCAAGCAGGAGGAUGCUCUUGUCUCAAAGUUGUGAUAGGUGGACACCUGCGGGUCACUUCAGGGCCGCCUGUCCUCCGAGCAGAGAAUGUCCACGUGUUGAAUCCAUUAUAUUUACUUCAGUAGCAGAGAUCACACCUGGAAUGUGUCCAACAUUUCAAAGAACCAGUGUCCAAUACAACAUUGGGAAAUGCUGAUCUGAGAAGACCUGAGUUUUUAAAAAAGGUCUUCUACUGAUUGGAUGAGGCCCACCCUCAUGAGGAAGGACAACCUGCUUCUCCCAGUCUGUCUGUCCAAGUGUUAACUUCAUCUGGAAGCUCACUCAACAGAAACACCCACAAUAAUAUCUGACCAAAUGUCUGGGCACCCUAUGGCCCCGUUAAGUUGAUAUAGUAAUUAAUCAUCACAACAUUACAAAUCUUAACAAUGUUAACAGUAUCUGACCAUAGAUGGAAAAGAACAUAUAACCCAAGUUAGAGUGGGGUGCACAGAGAAUUGUGUAGGGCUGCCACCCCAGGAGUAAUUCUUCACCUCGCAAGGCAUGCCUCUUAAGCCACUUGUAAAACUCUGUUAUUAAAAUUAUGGAUAUUUUUUCGUCCUUUUCUAAGAACUAUAAAGUCAUCCAUUUUCCCAGGGCUGUAAUAUAAUGUGAGCAGUAGGAUGAACAGGCUUCAGAAUUGGAGAGAUGAGCUCCGUGCUGCUUCAGCACUUGACUUGUGAAAUAUCUGAGGCCAGGAACUUCUGGUCUUUGAUUCUCAUUUUUUCCUUCUGUAAAAUAGGGACAAACUGUACCCGUCAGUCGUUGUACUGUUGAGAAGAGUGAAGAUAAUACAUACUUGAGCAUUUAGUAUGUGCUAGAUAAGUGGAAUUUGGUACUUACUUUCUACCAAAAAUUUAACACAACAGCCAAGGAAAUCACUUAAUUGACAUUAACCAGGAGGUUUACAUUCCUCACGUGGUGGGGAGAAGAGUGAGAGAGGCAGCUUUCUAGUAAUUGCUAAGCUGAAGAGAAGAGUUGAACACAAGUGCUGUCACUGUAAGAGUUUCUCUGAAGUGCCAGAUCAGUGGACAGAAGACAUAGCCCUGCUUCAGACUUGAGCCAGCCUCUCCUACUGCCUCCGUGACACUGGAGGGAGAGGCCAGGAGUGCGUCCACUACAUAAAAGAGUACACGGGGCAGAGAAGCAGGCAUGAUCUAUAUAAGAGAGACAGAUGUGACUUAAUGCUGUGCAAAGGGUCAAAGCAUCUUCUCAGCCACACAGUGAGACCAAGGUGUAUCUCCCGGUCUGUUUCUCACGUCUAGCAGUGGGCUGGUGCAUCAGUGAUCUGUAACAGCAAUGCAGGGUCUCUGCUCGUCCUGCCUCAGAGAACCACAGAAUUGGUUGGGAGAUGCAGUCCGCAUCGCCUAGACACCCCCUGGAACUGCUCUCAAUUCUCAUCCAUUUAAAGGAUGAAUCUAUCACUCUUCUCACUUGAAUUGCUGCAGUGCCUCCACUCGGAUCUUGCCUCCUCUGUGCAGUUUUAUUGAAUAUCCUCGGGGCUUCAAACCCAUGUGGGCAUUGGGCAUAUGAAGAUAAAUGGGUCACAGGGAAAGAAAGAAGUAACAAAUGUGGUAAGCGUCAAAACUGACAUGGUAAGAGUAUCAAGGAGGCAGGAAGGACAAUCUCAGACUUGCUCUCAGGGAGGAGGAGGACAAAGCAGAGGGGAGAGGAUGAAGGAAGACAUUCUGAUGGAUGUGGUACUGGAGGUGUUAAAGAAAAAACGAAAGAUGGUUACCGAAGAAGGUGAGGAAGACAUUUCCAAGAGAAAAAAAUGAUGGGAGAAAUACACUGAGGAGAGAGUGGCAACAUGGGGACAAUCGAGAUAAAUGAUGACAACAAUCUACAUUCGGCACCUACAUCCAUACCACAAAGCACAUCUUUCCGGACCUUUAAACCAGUACAUCAAAGAACAAUACUAUAUGGUGAAACUUCCAUUUCUGUUAACAGGUAAACAUUGAUAGGCAAGUAAAUGGUUAGAGACUCUCAACUUUUAUAGUUAUUUAGUGAUAUAACAAGCCUGAAGGUACUAGAAUUUAUAGUAAGUAAUUUAUAUAGUUAUUUCAUUCAGCGUUUAUAAUUUAACUUUGGUAAUAAUGACUGUUUA
Long non-coding RNA from Prionailurus viverrinus (fishing cat), 2365 nucleotides. RefSeq lists it as uncharacterized. The transcript has 7 exons. The record is from RefSeq and is a predicted model, not a curated record. Lineage: Eukaryota; Metazoa; Chordata; Mammalia; Carnivora; Felidae.